GACGGAGGGUGCAAGCGUUGCUCGGAAUCAUUGGGCGUAAAGGGUGCGUAGGCGGCUUUUUAAGUCUGACGUGAAAGCCCAAGGUUCAGCCUUGGAAGUGCGCUAGAAACUGAAAGGCUAGAGUGCCGGAGGGGAGAGUGGAAUUCCUGGUGUAGCGGUGAAAUGCGUAGAUAUCAGGAGGAAUACCGGUGGCGAAAGCGACUCUCUGGACGGUAACUGACGCUGAGGCACGACAGCGUGGGGAGCAAACAGG
This 253-nucleotide ribosomal RNA is filed under the name uncultured bacterium. RNAcentral describes it as "partial 16S ribosomal RNA". It matches the Rfam family "Bacterial small subunit ribosomal RNA", at positions 524 to 776 of the family's 1533-position model. The record is from RNAcentral.